AGGGGGACGAAGAUUAUGUGGAUGAUGACGACGAAGAUGAAUCGGCCGUUCCUCGCAUACCGGGGCCUAAAGACGAUCCGCCGGAUGAUUUAUUUGACGACGAACCAGUAGCAGGUACUGUGCACACAGAUAAGGAACAAUCCGGUGAACAAGCAAAAGAGCCGUUUGAUGAAUAUGCCGAUCAGAAUGGUGAGAAUCACGGUGACGAUCAUACUGGCAAGGGUGCAUCUGAGCAGAGUAAAGAUGCUGCUGAUCAUGUGGAACCUGGAAAGGUGAGGCACAGCUCUUGUUGAUGAAAUGCACUCGGGAGCAGUAUGAGACGGAAUGUGCGAGCAUUUGGCAAACAGCUUCAAACCUGAAGUGGGACUACUUGCCACAGCAGCUCUCCCGAAUAAGGUGGAAAGGUUGCUGUGGUCAUUUUAAAUGUCUGCACGCCUGCCUCACAAUUACCAAUAAAAAAGGGAGGCUUAUUGCAUAUUGCAGGCCGCUCACGAUUAUGAGCUGGAUAUGGGC
This is a long non-coding RNA of Rhipicephalus microplus (southern cattle tick), 513 nucleotides long. The record is from RefSeq and is a predicted model, not a curated record. NCBI's taxonomy places the organism in Eukaryota, Metazoa, Arthropoda, Arachnida, Ixodida, Ixodidae.